Molecule: transfer RNA, 84 nt
Rfam family: tRNA
About the family: Transfer RNA (tRNA) molecules are approximately 80 nucleotides in length. Their secondary structure includes four short double-helical elements and three loops (D, anti-codon, and T loops). Further hydrogen bonds mediate the characteristic L-shaped molecular structure. tRNAs have two regions of fundamental functional importance: the anti-codon, which is responsible for specific mRNA codon recognition, and the 3' end, to which the tRNAs corresponding amino acid is attached (by aminoacyl-tRNA synthetases). tRNAs cope with the degeneracy of the genetic code in two manners: having more than one tRNA (with a specific anti-codon) for a particular amino acid; and 'wobble' base-pairing, i.e. permitting non-standard base-pairing at the 3rd anti-codon position.
GGGCUCUUGGCACAGUUGGUAGCGCGCACGCUUCGCAUUAGAUGCAUAUGCGUGAGGUCGUGGGUUCAACUCCCACAGUGUCCA